RNAcentral lists this ribosomal RNA (292 nucleotides) under uncultured bacterium. RNAcentral's name for it is "partial 16S ribosomal RNA". It matches the Rfam family "Bacterial small subunit ribosomal RNA", at positions 505 to 796 of the family's 1533-position model. The record is from RNAcentral.
GUGCCAGCCGCCGCGGUAAUACGGAGGAUGCAAGCGUUAUCCGGAUUUAUUGGGUUUAAAGGGUGCGUAGGCGGAUUAAUAAGUCAGUGGUGAAAACCUUCAGCUUAACUGGAGACUUGCCAUUGAUACUGUCAGUCUUGAGUAUGGUUAAGGUAGGCGGAAUGUGUAAUGUAGCGGUGAAAUGCUUAGAUAUUACACAGAACACCGAUUGCGAAGGCAGCUUACUGAGCCAUAACUGACGCUGAUGCACGAAAGCGUGGGGAGCGAACAGGAUUAGAUACCCCCGUAGUCC